This 68-nucleotide transfer RNA is filed under the name Dipturus trachyderma (roughskin skate). Its description in RNAcentral is "tRNA-Phe". It matches the Rfam family "tRNA". Rfam says of the family: Transfer RNA (tRNA) molecules are approximately 80 nucleotides in length. Their secondary structure includes four short double-helical elements and three loops (D, anti-codon, and T loops). RNAcentral also lists the same sequence under 1 other name. The record is from RNAcentral. Lineage: Eukaryota; Metazoa; Chordata; Chondrichthyes; Rajiformes; Rajidae.
GCUAGUGUAGCUUAUGCAAAGCAUGGCACUGAAAAUGCUAAGAUAAAAUUUAAAAACUUUCACAAGCA